Molecule: ribosomal RNA, 400 nt
Filed under: uncultured bacterium
Lineage: Bacteria
Description: bacterial SSU rRNA
Rfam family: Bacterial small subunit ribosomal RNA
Source: RNAcentral
GGGAAUAUUGGACAAUGGGCGCAAGCCUGAUCCAGCCAUGCCGCGUGAGUGAUGACGGCCUUAGGGUUGUAAAGCUCUUUCGCACGCGACGAUAAUGACGGUAGCGUGAGAAGAAGCCCCGGCUAACUUCGUGCCAGCAGCCGCGGUAAUACGAAGGGGGCUAGCGUUGUUCGGAAUUACUGGGCGUAAAGCGCGUGUAGGCGGGCUUUUAAGUCAGGGGUGAAAUGCCGAGGCUCAACCUCGGAACUGCCUCUGAUACUGGAAGUCUUGAGUCCGGAAGAGGUGAGUGGAACUGCGAGUGUAGAGGUGAAAUUCGUAGAUAUUCGCAAGAACACCAGUGGCGAAGGCGGCUCACUGGUCCGGAACUGACGCUGAGACGCGAAAGCGUGGGGAGCAAACA